Molecule: non-coding RNA, 88 nt
Filed under: Clostridia bacterium
Lineage: Bacteria; Bacillati; Bacillota; Clostridia
Description: c-di-GMP sequence
Rfam family: c-di-GMP-I riboswitch aptamer
About the family: GEMM was predicted in a large-scale screen for bacterial structured RNA regulatory elements. Genes associated with GEMM are involved in a diverse array of functions, including chemotaxis regulation, signal transduction, secretion and chitin.
Source: RNAcentral
AACCGCUAAAGGCAAAACCGUCGAAAGACGGUGGCGCAAAGCUAUAGGGGCUAAAGUGGCUUUGCCACCAAGCCAGCCAGCUGCCGGG